Molecule: ribosomal RNA, 252 nt
Filed under: uncultured bacterium
Lineage: Bacteria
Description: partial 16S ribosomal RNA
Rfam family: Bacterial small subunit ribosomal RNA
Source: RNAcentral
UACGUAGGGACCAAGCGUUGUUCGGAUUUACUGGCGUAAAGGGCGCGUAGGCGGCGUGUUAAGUCAGCUGUGAAAUCUCCAAGCUUAACUUGGAACGGUCAGCUGAUACUGAUGUGCUAGAGUGCAGAAGGGGCAAUCGGAAUUCUUGGUGUAGCGGUGAAAUGCGUAGAUAUCAAGAGGAACACCUGAGGUGAAGACGGGUUGCUGGGCUGACACUGACGCUGAGGCGCGAAAGCUAGGGUAGCAAACGGG